This 257-nucleotide long non-coding RNA is filed under the name Elaeis guineensis (African oil palm). Its description in RNAcentral is "long non-coding RNA (EGUI_LNC081601)". Lineage: Eukaryota; Viridiplantae; Streptophyta; Magnoliopsida; Arecales; Arecaceae. The record is from RNAcentral.
GUGCUAGCUCGCGCGAAGAUCUUUUUCUUAGCUGAUCUAGAUCCUUUCUUCAAAUCUCUAAAAUCUUUUUAGAGAUUGAAGAUGGACUUCUAGAGGAGAUAAAGAGGUGAAAGAAAGAUGAAGAAGAAAAUAAUUUUUUUCUAAUUUAUUUCCUCCUCCCAAACUCUUAGAACCAAAAAUCUAAAAUUCAGAUUUUUGCGCACACCCCAAGAGAGAGGAUUCUCCUCUCUAUUUUUCACAUCAUGAACCAUGCCCAA